AACGAACGCUGGCGGCGUGGAUAAGACAUGCAAGUCGAACGGGAUCAAGUUUGUAGCAAUACACGCUUGGUCUAGUGGCGCACGGGUGCGUAACACGUGAGCAAUCUGCCGGGAAGUAGGGGAUAGCUCGCCGAAAGGCGAAUUAAUACCGCACGUGACCAAGGAGGACAUCCUCUUGAAGUCAAAGCAGCAAUGCGCUUCCUGAUGAGCUCGCGGCCUAUCAGCUAGUUGGCGGGGUAACGGCCCACCAAGGCUAUGACGGGUAGCUGGUCUGAGAGGACGACCAGCCACACUGGAACUGAGACACGGUCCAGACACCUACGGGUGGCAGCAGUCGAGAAUUUUUCACAAUGGGGGAAACCCUGAUGGAGCGACGCCGCGUGGAGGAUGAAGGUCUUCGGAUUGUAAACUCCUGUCAUGCGGGAACAAGAAAGUGAUAGUACCGCAAGAGGAAGAGACGGCUAACUCUGUGCCAGCCGCCGCUGUAA
RNAcentral lists this ribosomal RNA (488 nucleotides) under uncultured bacterium. RNAcentral's name for it is "partial 16S ribosomal RNA". It matches the Rfam family "Bacterial small subunit ribosomal RNA", at positions 29 to 523 of the family's 1533-position model. The record is from RNAcentral.